AACUCUGAGCAGUGGAUCACUCGGCUCACGGGUCGAUGAAGACCGCAGCCAGCUGCGAGACUUGGUGUGAAUUGCAGGAUAUGAUUUUUCGCACGCGAAUUGCUAUCACGAGUGAUGGGGUCGGAUGAGACUUGCACAAGGAGCU
RNAcentral lists this ribosomal RNA (145 nucleotides) under Stegodyphus mimosarum. Its description in RNAcentral is "5.8S ribosomal RNA". It matches the Rfam family "5.8S ribosomal RNA". From Rfam's summary of the family: 5.8S ribosomal RNA (5.8S rRNA) is a component of the large subunit of the eukaryotic ribosome. It is transcribed by RNA polymerase I as part of the 45S precursor that also contains 18S and 28S rRNA. Lineage: Eukaryota; Metazoa; Arthropoda; Arachnida; Araneae; Eresidae. The record is from Rfam by way of RNAcentral.